CUCAUCUCUAGGGCUCUCCCGCCCCUCAUCCGCGUUCGCCAAUCGGCUGGGACCUCUGGGAGCGUCCCACCCGCCUCCCUUGAUCCGGGCCCGCCCCCAAGCCGCGGCCGGGAGCGGUCUCCGCCCCGCCGAAGAGCCUGUAGUUUUUGGGACCACUGCCCAGAGUGAACCCGCCGAGACUCUCUGGUUUGACUGGAGAACAGCUGUGGAGCAUCCCUUUGCUGCUGGACCAUGGGAAAUGAUAGGUGGAGAACUGAGUUAAUAAAAAGAAACAGGACUUGACAUAUAGAGAAAAAGAAGUAUGAAGAGUCACACCCCACAAUUUCAUCUUGUAAAUGAGCUCAGGAAAUGAGAAUGGAGGGAAAGCCCCUGGGGCUGACGGCCUGUGCUUCUGUCACCGCAGACAUCUGGGUUUUAAUGACAUGAUAUGAAAAGGGGGGCCCCUCCCCCCCACUGACCAACCAACCCCAGCACAUCAAGUUGCAUCAGGACUGAGCUCAUCCUCUGUGGCCUGCGGAAGGAUCCCCACCAGUGGAUGAUUCUCAGUGUUCAUUAUUUGCUCCCGUCUCCCUCCACCCUUUCUCCCCCAGCCUCAUUUUUCAUCUUUGUGUACGUGUCUGUGUGCUUAAGUGUGGGAAUAUGGACAAGUAUGUAUGCCAUAGCGUGCAAGAAGUCGACCUUGGGUGUUUGUCUCAGCUUUUACUUUGUUUGAUACAGUUUUUUGUUUGUCACUUUGUACUCCAGGUUAGCUAGCCAAUAGCUUCUGGAGAUCCUCCUGCCUCCGCCUCCAUAGGAACACUGUAAUAUGUGUUCUGGGAGUGUGAAUGUUUGUGUCUGUCUGGUAUGUGCUUCGCCCAAUGAGCCACCUCUCCAGGCAUGCGUCUUUCUUCUAUCCCGUGGAUAAAUUCUAAAUCCUCCAUUUCCAAAUUUCUACAUAAUAUGGGAAGGAGAGAAAACAAAAGCUGAUGAGUACAGAAUUGGUCUCUAGGAAAUGUUGACUCUGAACAGAAAUGUGCCUUAAGGGUCGCUUGAAGGACAACGCCCAAAAAUGCAGCUCCAUAUCUGCAACGCCUGUGUGGCUGGGCUAAAAGAACAACCUCUGUUCUCUUCUGUGGAGGAAGCAAACAGGACCUUGGAGCAAAGGAGGUAACAUUAUCCAGAAGAAGACGGAACCAGAGGAGAUAAAGCUGGUCAGCUAUGUGGCAGGAAGCUGCUGCUGCCAACACUGGAGAGAUAGAAUUAUCUAGCUGUACGAACGCCAAGAUGCCUUUAAAAAUAAACCUAAGUCAGGAGUACUGGUACAUGCCUUCAGCCUCAGCCUCAUGGGAGGCAGGCAGGAUGGAGGCUAGCAUGUACUACAUAUUAAGACUGUUGUGGCUGACUAACUCAUAUAACAAAUAAAUAAAUAGAUCCUAUAAUAAUGAUUAGAUCUAAUAAAUAACUUCAAGGCAUUUGUUGUAUAUGGUAUAUUGCAAUUCUUUCUUUACUCUCUUUUCAAAUGUUCCAUUAAGUUUGCUAGUCAUAGUCUUGAUUUGAAUGAACUUAAAUCAUUGGGAAGGGAAUACAAUGACGACAGUACUCAAUUUAUUGAUUGUACAUAGAAAGGAGCACUAGCCCCAAGAGGCAAAGGAGACUGUGCGAACCAUAAAUUUGAGAAACUUAACCCUCCAUGCUGCUCCCUACUCUUAACAAGAAACUGAUUUCCAACUAUUAUUAGGUCAGUGUAUUUAAAAGUUGGUCAUAGCUCGCUAGAGAAUUUGGAACCAUCUAGGCAACUAAUACCUCUUAUAGUAGUAUAAGUAAAUAAUAUAAUAAAUUUUAAAUAUUUAUGAACCAAGAGAACAGAAGUAGAAACUGCCAAGUUUUAAAUACAUACAUUAUUUCUUUCCACUAAUUUUUUUUGGCCUUCAAUUAAAUUUUAAUUUAAAUUCCUUAAGUUUAGAAUAAGUCAAUAACAUAGGAUUCCAGAAUCAAGCAUUUGUAAAUUUGGUGUUUAAAAGGAAGACCUAAGGUCUUUUAAACCAAAUAAGUGUAUUAUUCCUUUAAUACUGCAUUCAUAGGCAAGCUAAUGUUAGCCUGCCUAAUGUCAUAGCAUGUAAAUGAGAUGAAGAUGUAUAUUUUCAUUUAAGCGGUUCUUUUUUUAUUUUUGACAUUUUAUUAACCAUGGUUUGCAAAAUGAUAGAUUGUGACUGGAAAGGAAAUUAUAUAUUAUUCAGAUUAACCUAAUUUUCCACGACCUUCUGCAUUGAUAGGCAGAUUUUAAUACCAUUGUAAGUAUUGCAUUUGACUGACACACACUAUCAUUUGGUCCAUAGCUAACAUAUAGCACAAAAGGAAUGAAGUGAAUGAUUUCUUUUGAAGGGUUGACUGCUGACUGUGAUAACUUCUAGGGGAGAAACAAAAGAGAGUGUCAUUUGCCUACACUACUUAUUUCCCCCCCGUAUUAAAGAAUACGACAUGUCUAGCCUGUGUGGAAUUUUGAAUAAAUAAGAUUAUUUUCUUACCACCUAAAUGGUAUUAUCUGCUGCUGCUGCUUCUAACUCAAUGUUUUGUGUACAUUUGUGGAUCUGAAGAUUCAUUUUGGGUGUGUAGAAUAGUACAUAUGGUGCCCAGGGCUUGUACUACUGCUAACUUGACUAAGUGAAACAGAAUUACAUGGCCUUUGUAAAAGUCACAGAUUAUUAAGUCACAAAAAGUCACGUAGUGAUGAUCAUGCAUUUUCUUGAUGUUUAAGAUUCAUGCAUAAAAUGCAUGGAUAAGAACAUCAUCAAUCUAAAUAUUUAUUUAGAUAUUUUGGCUCUAAAUAUAUUUUUUCCAAAAUAUAUUGUCAAACAUAUGUAGUCCAGGAUUCAUUUAGUCUUUUUGUUAUUUUCCAUUACUCUCAUUUUCAAAUGUAAUAUUCAGAAAGUACUUCAAACACAAUAUAAAUCACUUAUGAACAUGUUCGCUAUAGCUAUUGUUAGCUACAUAUGCAUGCCGUUAAUUAAAUCACCUACAAAAUAAUAUUCCUUACUAGAGAGACAAACUAAAUUAGCCUCAGAUUUUCAUAAUAACUACAGCACUGUAUAAUUAAAUUGAAAUUCUCUCCAAGUGAACAAACUCAUAUGGCUACUCAUGAUGGUUAAAGAAGCCAUUCAUUUAGAGAAACUAAUGUUAUACACACCCAGAAUGGAAACUGAAAUACAAUUCUUUGCCCAUAGAAAACAAAAUGAAAUGAGUAAGCCAUGUCUAAUGAUAUAUAAAAAUAUUAUACUCAAAUCUCAUCUGUACUAAUGCCUUCUCUUCUGUAAAUUAUUUCUCAGCUUCCAGGUCUACAUGUUCUGUGUAUGAAACAUUCAAAUUCUUUACCCAGGAAAAUUUUCUUUCUGAUUCUGGAAUUGUUUCUGCAACCUGUAUUCUUACUCCAUUCUGUUAGAUGAAAUGAGCCCUGUCCUUAUUUUCUCAAGAUAGACAAUAAAAGAAGUA
Meriones unguiculatus (Mongolian gerbil) is the source of this 3465-nucleotide long non-coding RNA. RefSeq lists it as uncharacterized. The record is from RefSeq and is a predicted model, not a curated record. The transcript has 4 exons. Lineage: Eukaryota; Metazoa; Chordata; Mammalia; Rodentia; Muridae.